GAACGCAGCGAAAUGCGAUACUUGGUGUGAAUUGCAGAAUCCCGUGAACCAUCGAGUCUUUGAACGCAAGUUGCGCCCGAAGCCUUGGCUGAGGGCACGCCUGCCUGGGUGUCACACGUCGCGUCGCCUCCGAAACCUUUCCCCUCGUAACAACGUGGCGAUGGUUCCGGAUGCGGAAGAUGGCCUCCCGUGACCACGAGCCACGGACGGCCCAAGUUUUGGCUGGGGAAGCGAAGCGCCACGGCUUUCGGUGGUCGGCACAGCCCCCGAGGCGAUGAACGAACGAAGCCCGUGGCUGCCGCGACGGUCCCCGGUCCACGACCCCAAUCGCUAACCAAAGCGACCUCAGGUCAGGCGGGGCUACCCGCUGAGUUUAAGCAUAUCAAUAAGCGGAGG
This 396-nucleotide ribosomal RNA is filed under the name Combretum kraussii. RNAcentral's name for it is "eukaryotic LSU rRNA". The stretch from base 1 to 114 matches the Rfam family "5.8S ribosomal RNA", at positions 41 to 154 of the family's 154-position model. The record is from RNAcentral. Lineage: Eukaryota; Viridiplantae; Streptophyta; Magnoliopsida; Myrtales; Combretaceae.